AGAGUUUGAUCAUGGCUCAGAUUGAACGCUGGCGGCAGGCUUAACACAUGCAAGUCGAACGGUAACAGGAAAUAGCUUGCUAUUUUGCUGACAAGUGGCGGACGGGUGAGUAAUGCUUGGGAAUGUACCGGUUUGUGGGGGACAACAGUUGGAAACGACUGCUAAUACCGCAUAAUAUCUAUUGAUCAAAGGUGGCCUCUAUUCAUAAGCUAUCGCAAACCGAUCAGCCCAAGUGGGAUUAGCUAGUUGGUAAGGUAAUGGCUUACCAAGGCAUCGAUCCCUAGCUGGUCUUAGAGGAUGACCAGCCACACUGGAACUGAGACACGGUCCAGACUCCUACGGGAGGCAGCAGUGGGGAAUAUUGCACAAUGGGCGCAAGCCUGAUGCAGCCAUGCCGCGUGUGUGAAGAAGGCUUUCGGGUUGUAAAGCACUUUCAGCGAGGAGGAAAGGGUAAUAGUUAAUACCUAUUACCUGUGACGUUACUCGCAGAAGAAGCACCGGCUAACUCACGUGCCAGACAGCCGCGGUAAUACGGCCCAGGGUGCGAGCGUUAAUCGGAAUUACUGGGCGUAAAGCGCGCGUAGGUGGUUAAAUUAGCCAGAUGUGAAAGCCCAGGGCUCAACCUUGGAACUGCAUUUGAAACUGUUUAACUAGAGUUUUGUAGAGGGUGGUAGAAUUUCAGGUGUAGCGGUGAAAUGCGUAGAGAUCUGAAGGAAUACCAGUGGCGAAGGCGGCCACCUGGACAAUAACUGACACUGAGGCGCGAAGGCGUGGGGAGCAAACGGGAUUAGAUACCCCGGUAGUCCACGCAGUAAACGAUGUCUAUUAGAAGUUUGUGGCUAUAUGCCGUGGGUUUCAAAGCUAACGCAUUAAAUAGACCGCCUGGGGAGUACGGCCGCAAGGUUAAAACUCAAAUGAAUUGACGGGGGCCCGCACAAGCGGUGGAGCAUGUGGUUUAAUUCGAUGCAACGCGAAGAACCUUACCAUCCUUUGACAUCCAGAGAAUCUGUUAGAGAUAAUUGAGUGCCUUCGGGAGCUCUGAGACAGGUGCUGCAUGGCUGUCGUCAGCUCGUGUUGUGAAAUGUUGGGUUAAGUCCCGCAACGAGCGCAACCCUUAUCCUUAGUUGCCAGCACGUAAUGGUGGGAACUCUAGGGAGACUGCCGGUGAUAAACCGGAGGAAGGUGGGGACGACGUCAAGUCAUCAUGGCCCUUACGGGAUGGGCUACACACGUGCUACAAUGGCAAAUACAAAGGGUUGCUAACCUGCGAGGGUAUGCGGAUCUCAUAAAGUUUGUCGUAGUCCGGGUCGGAGUCUGCAACUCGACUCCGUGAAGUUGGAAUCGCUAGUAAUCGUGGAUCAGAAUGCCACGGUGAAUACGUUCCCGGGCCUUGUACACACCGCCCGUCACACCAUGGGAGUGGGCUGCACCAGAAGUCAUUAGCUUAACCUUCGGGAUGGCGAUGACCACGGUGUGGUUCAUGACUGGGGUGAAGUCGUAACAAGGUAAC
Molecule: ribosomal RNA, 1510 nt
Filed under: uncultured Gammaproteobacteria bacterium
Lineage: Bacteria; Pseudomonadati; Pseudomonadota; Gammaproteobacteria
Description: bacterial SSU rRNA
Rfam family: Bacterial small subunit ribosomal RNA
Source: RNAcentral